GAAGAAUCUCCUUUUCAACUAGGUUUGGGAACACAGGUUUUCGGGGUUGCUUGCAUGACACUGGGAAGACUCACCGUUGACCCUCGCUAGCGGUGGCCUUGGUUAAGUCGCACUGAGAAAUUCGCAGUUUCCGGUGACAGAUAAAGGAAAAAACCUCGGGAGCUGAACGGCGUUUCCGAAGGGAUUUUCUCGGGUGUUUGUCGGGUGCAGCGCAGCGUCU
RNAcentral lists this small RNA (220 nucleotides) under Pseudomonas helmanticensis. Its description in RNAcentral is "Pseudomonas sRNA P4". Lineage: Bacteria; Pseudomonadati; Pseudomonadota; Gammaproteobacteria; Pseudomonadales; Pseudomonadaceae. The record is from RNAcentral.